RNAcentral lists this ribosomal RNA (327 nucleotides) under uncultured eukaryote. RNAcentral describes it as "partial 18S ribosomal RNA". It matches the Rfam family "Eukaryotic small subunit ribosomal RNA", at positions 1470 to 1796 of the family's 1831-position model. The record is from RNAcentral.
CCCUUAGAUGUUCUGGGCCGCACGCGCGCUACACUGACGAAUGCAACGAGCUUAUAACCUUGGCCGAAAGGUCUGGGUAAUCUCCAAAUUUCGUCGUGAUGGGGAUAGAUUAUUGCAAUUAUUAAUCUUCAACGAGGAAUGCCUAGUAAGCGCAAGUCAUCAGCUUGCGUUGAUUACGUCCCUGCCCUUUGUACACACCGCCCGUCGCUCCUACCGAUUGAAUGGUCCGGUGAAGCGCUCGGACCGCGGCCUCUUGACGGUUUUCCGUCGAUUGGCGGUGGGAAGUUCGUUAAACCUUAUCAUUUAGAGGAAGGAGAAGUCGUAACA